RNAcentral lists this ribosomal RNA (433 nucleotides) under Dendarus messenius. Its description in RNAcentral is "partial 16S ribosomal RNA". It matches the Rfam family "Bacterial large subunit ribosomal RNA", at positions 1819 to 2523 of the family's 2925-position model. The record is from RNAcentral. Lineage: Eukaryota; Metazoa; Arthropoda; Insecta; Coleoptera; Tenebrionidae.
GGCCUUUUGAUUAUGAUUUAAGGUCUUACCUGCCCGAUGAUUUUUGAAUGGCCGCAGUAUUUUGACUGUGCAAAGGUAGCAUAAUCAUUAGUUUCUUAAUUAGAAGCUGGAAUGAAUGGUUUGAUGAAAAACUGACUGUCUCUUUAUAAUUGUUUUAUAAUUUUAUUUUUAAGUCAAAAAGCUUAAAUUUUAUACAAAGACGAGAAGACCCUAUAGAGUUUUACAUUUUAGGGGUAGCUUAUUUGAGGGUUAUUUAUUUAGGCUACUUUGAAAAUUGUUUUGUUGGGGUGACAUGAAAAUUUAAGAAACUUUUCAUUAGUUUUACACUGAUUAGUGAGUAUAUGAUCCUAUUUUUUAGAUUAUAAGAUUAAAUUACCUUAGGGAUAACAGCGUAAUUCUUUUUGAAAGUUCUUAUUGAUAAAAGAGUUUGCGA